UCGAGCGAACAGACGAGGAGCUUGCUCCUCUGACGUUAGCGGCGGACGGGUGAGUAACACGUGGAUAACCUACCUAUAAGACUGGGAUAACUUCGGGAAACCGGAGCUAAUACCGGAUAAUAUAUUGAACCGCAUGGUUCAAUAGUGAAAGACGGUUUUGCUGUCACUUAUAGAUGGAUCCGCGCCGCAUUAGCUAGUUGGUAAGGUAACGGCUUACCAAGGCAACGAUGCGUAGCCGACCUGAGAGGGUGAUCGGCCACACUGGAACUGAGACACGGUCCAGACUCCUACGGGAGGCAGCAGUGGGGAAUCUUCCGCAAUGGGCGAAAGCCUGACGGAGCAACGCCGCGUGAGUGAUGAAGGUCUUCGGAUCGUAAAACUCUGUUAUUAGGGAAGAACAAAUGUGUAAGUAACUAUGCACGUCUUGACGGUACCUAAUCAGAAAGCCACGGCUAACUACGUGCCAGCAGCCGCGGUAAUACGUAGGUGGCAAGCGUUAUCCGGAAUUAUUGGGCGUAAAGCGCGCGUAGGCGGUUUUUUUAAGUCUGAUGUGAAAGCCCACGGCUCAACCGUGGAGGGUCAUUGGAAACUGGAAAACUUGAGUGCAGAAGAGGAAAGUGGAAUUCCAUGUGUAGCGGUGAAAUGCGCAGAGAUAUGGAGGAACACCAGUGGCGAAGGCGACUUUCUGGUCUGUAACUGACGCUGAUGUGCGAAAGCGUGGGGAUCAAACAGGAUUA
This 737-nucleotide ribosomal RNA is filed under the name uncultured Staphylococcus sp. Its description in RNAcentral is "bacterial SSU rRNA". It matches the Rfam family "Bacterial small subunit ribosomal RNA", at positions 62 to 780 of the family's 1533-position model. Lineage: Bacteria; Bacillati; Bacillota; Bacilli; Caryophanales; Staphylococcaceae. The record is from RNAcentral.